RNAcentral lists this ribosomal RNA (459 nucleotides) under uncultured bacterium. RNAcentral's name for it is "partial 16S ribosomal RNA". It matches the Rfam family "Bacterial small subunit ribosomal RNA", at positions 338 to 795 of the family's 1533-position model. The record is from RNAcentral.
CCUACGGGCGGCAGCAGUGAGGAAUAUUGGUCAAUGGUCGGGAGACUGAACCAGCCAAGCCGCGUGAGGGAUGAAGGCACAGAGUAUCGCAGACCUCUUUUGCCAGGGGACAAAGGCGCGGACGCGUCCCCGGCUGAGUGUACCCGAAGAAAAAGCAUCGGCUAACUCCGUGCCAGCAGCCGCGGUAAUACGGAGGAUGCGAGCGUUAUCCGGAUUUAUUGGGUUUAAAGGGUGCGCAGGCGGUCCGUUAAGGCGGCGGUCAAAGCCCGGGGCUCAACCCCGGCGCGCCGUUGAAACUGGGAGUAUCGAGUUGGGUAGAGGUAUGCGGAAUGCGCGGUGUAGCGGUGAAAUGCAUAGAUAUCGCGCAGAACUCCGAUUGCGAAGGCAGCGUGCCGGCUCCACACUGACGCUGAGGCACGAAAGCGUGGGGAUCGAACAGGAUUAGAUACCCGAGUAGUC